ACUACCUGCAGUAUUGAUGUAUCCUAAUAUUUUCCUAUGCAAAAUUUUCAACAUGGCUGAGGUCAAAGAAAAAUUAGUUUGCUUUCUAUCAUGAAUAUUUACCCAUACCACUAAAUGUUCUUCCACGUGGGGAAAAAAGAGAUUCACCUGAUCAAAAAGCUGGUGCUUUACAACCUGCUUUUCCAGAGCAUAUUUGGGCCAUCCUGUCUUUUGGUUUGACCAACAAUUCAGAAUCAUGGCUUCCAUAAAUGGCUUUGAUAUUGUUUUCUCUCAUCAGUGAGCCUAGGGGACCUUGCUCAUUUGAACAGAUUGGUCUUGGUUUCAGAUGCUCUGGGAAUUUGCAUUUGUGAACCUUCCUUGGCCUGUUCCUAAUGGAAUCUGGGGGCAGAAUGGAAGCCUGGGAUGGCAGGUGUCACUGGCUGACUGUGAUUGGAUUGUCCAGCCUUCGUGAUCCCCCUCUGUGAGCUGUUCCUAUUUGGGACCCAGGGAAAAUCAUUUUAAAAGCUGAAACGUUUUGAAGUAACAAAUGACUGCUUUUUUUCUCUUCUCAUUUCAGGCAUGCUGAGUUUUAGUUCAGAGUGGUUGCACGGGGGCCUCUUCAUCAUGAAUCUGGAAACCCUCUAUCAUUAAGGAUUAGUUCACAGAUUUCCUGAAAGUAAAAGAAAAAUGGAAAAGAAAAUAGGAAGACACCAGCCACCACCUUGCACAGACUCUGGGAUCUAAGACCACACAAUGAAAGGGAGAAAUCAGUGGCUGAAGGAGUCACUUCAUGACUGGGGAGUACAAAUGAUCUAGACCUGCACCGCCUGAUGCUGUAGUUACUACCCACAUGCGGCUAUUUAAGUUGAAAUUAAUUGAAAUUAAAUAAAAUAAAAAAUACAAUUCCUCAGU
Long non-coding RNA from Pan troglodytes (chimpanzee), 891 nucleotides. RefSeq lists it as uncharacterized. The transcript has 2 exons. NCBI's taxonomy places the organism in Eukaryota, Metazoa, Chordata, Mammalia, Primates, Hominidae. The record is from RefSeq and is a predicted model, not a curated record.